GGUAUAUAGCUCAGUUGGUAGAGUGCUUUCCUCCCAUGCACAAGGCCCUGGGUUCAAUUCCCAGCACCA
Molecule: transfer RNA, 69 nt
Filed under: Marmota monax (woodchuck)
Lineage: Eukaryota; Metazoa; Chordata; Mammalia; Rodentia; Sciuridae
Description: tRNA.Gly
Source: RNAcentral